Molecule: non-coding RNA, 123 nt
Organism: Caenorhabditis elegans
Lineage: Eukaryota; Metazoa; Nematoda; Chromadorea; Rhabditida; Rhabditidae
Source: Ensembl
CGUUUCAUUUAUAUUUGAGUGAAAGAGCUUCACCGAAUUGAAACACCGAGGGACGACAAAAAACGAGAAAGCGAUUCACGCGAAGAUCCAAAUGAAAAAUGUGUUCCUCGGGGGGUUUCACCA